This 105-nucleotide non-coding RNA is filed under the name Aneurinibacillus migulanus. Its description in RNAcentral is "Glycine sequence". It matches the Rfam family "Glycine riboswitch aptamer". From Rfam's summary of the family: This family represents the bacterial glycine riboswitch. Glycine riboswitches usually consist of two metabolite-binding aptamers domains with similar structures in tandem. The aptamers cooperatively bind glycine to regulate the expression of downstream genes. Lineage: Bacteria; Bacillati; Bacillota; Bacilli; Caryophanales; Paenibacillaceae. The record is from Rfam by way of RNAcentral.
AUGAUGAUUGCAGGAGAGACUGAACAGCAUGUUCGGCACCGAAGGAGCAAAUCCCAAAAAAACCUUGGGACAGAAACUCUCAGGUAAAAAGACUGCAAUUGGACG